GUUGAUGUCUAUCCUGAUGUAGCUUUUUCUGUAGACUUAUAUCAAUGGAAACCUCACUGAAUAUAUAUGUGGUUUCCUUUACUCAGAGAACUAUGUGUUAGAUCUGUGGGGAAGAACUAUAUGAAGGGU
Molecule: small nucleolar RNA, 129 nt
Organism: Manis pentadactyla (Chinese pangolin)
Lineage: Eukaryota; Metazoa; Chordata; Mammalia; Pholidota; Manidae
Source: RefSeq, a predicted model, not a curated record